UGAGGGGAAAAAUUAAUAAUUUAUAAAUAAUAAAAAAAUUUUUAAUACUAGAAUGGGGGUUAUAGUAUUAUAAGUAAAAAAAAUUAUAAAUUUUAUAGUUAAUUAGUAUUGUAAAAGAAUUUUGAAAUAAAUGAAAAUGAAAUUUUUAAAAAGUAAAUUUAAUUUGUUGUAUCUUGUGUAUCAGAGUUUAUUAAAUAAAUUUAUUUUGAAAAAUAAAUCUCGAAUUUAAAGGAGUUAAUUAAUUAUAAAAGUUAAUGUAAUAUAAUUAUUUUUAAUAAUUAAUUUGAAAUGAAAAGUUAAUCGUUUUUAAAUAUAUCUAGUUUUUUUAGAAAUAAAUUUAAUUUAAAAUUUAAUUUUAUUAAAAAUUUUUUUUUAAUUUAUAGUAAAUUAAAUUUAAUAUUUUAAGGGAUAAGCUUUAAAUUAAAAAUUUAUAUUAAAAAAAAAUUAUUUAAAUUUUUAAGAUUUAAAUUGUUUAAAAAUUUUAAUUUUUUAUAAAAAAUUUUAAUAAAAAUAAAAUUUAUAGUAAAAUUAAAAUUAUAUAAAAAAAAAAUUUAAAAUAAGAAAAAAUUUUAAAUAAUGAUAAAAUUAGUAUAAAAAAAAUUAAUAAAGUAAAAAUUUUAAAAAUUAAAUUAAAGGAAUUCGGCAAAUAUAUAUAUUCACUUGUUUAUCAAAAACAUGUCUUUUUGAAAAUAAUUUAAGGUUUAAUCUGCCCACUGAUGAAAAUUGAAGGGCUGCAGUAUAUUGACUGUACAAAGGUAGCAUAAUCAAUAGUCUUUUAAUUGAAGACUUGUAUGAAUGAUUUGAUGAAAUAUAAACUGUCUCUAAUUUAAAUAUAGAAUUUAAUUUUUUAGUCAAAAAGCUAAAAUGAUUUUAAAAGACGAGAAGACCCUAUAGAGUUUUAUAUUUAAAUUAUUUAAUAUUUUAUAUAUAAAUUAUAAUAAAAAUUAAUUAAAAUAUUUUAUUGGGGUGAUAGAAAAAUUUAAAAAACUUUUUUUAAAAAAAAAUCAUAAAUAAGUGAAAUGAUGAUCCAUAAUUAAUGAUUAAAAGAAAAAAUUACCUUAGGGAUAACAGCGUAAUUUUUUUUUUUAGUUCAAAUAAAAAAAAAAAAUUGCGACCCCGAUGUUGGAUUAAGAUAAAAUUUAAAUGCAAAAGUUUAAAAUUUUGAUCUGUUCGAUCAUUAAAAUCUUACAUGAUCUGAGUUCAAACCGGGGUGAGCCAGGUUGGUUUCUAUCUUUAGAUAAUUAUAAUAUUUUAGUACGAAAGGAUCAAAUAUUAAAAAUAAUUUUAAAAAUAAAAAUUUUAUUAAUAUUAA
This 1312-nucleotide ribosomal RNA is filed under the name Parantica aglea (glassy tiger). RNAcentral's name for it is "16S ribosomal RNA". Lineage: Eukaryota; Metazoa; Arthropoda; Insecta; Lepidoptera; Nymphalidae. The record is from RNAcentral.